Molecule: long non-coding RNA, 1087 nt
Filed under: Malus domestica (apple)
Lineage: Eukaryota; Viridiplantae; Streptophyta; Magnoliopsida; Rosales; Rosaceae
Description: long non-coding RNA (MDOM_LNC004180)
Source: RNAcentral
AUUUAUCAUGUGAUUACAUACAAGUGUAAAAAAAAUACCCAUGAAGUUGAAUUUCUUUCCUGAAUUCUCAAGAUUGAGAUAAAGACAUAGGAAAAUUCUAAAAAUUAGAGAUAAUUAAACAAGCUAGGAACUAGUUAGUAGUAGUGAGGUCCUCUCUAUAGCCUGAUUUGCACGGUCUUCCUCUCCAGCCAUGGACUAGUUAGUAGCAGUGAGGUUCUCUCUAUAGCCUGAUUUGCCCGGUCUUCCCCUCCAGCCAUAGACUCCGGACCUUCUUCCUCAUCUAGGGUUGGCAAGCCAUGAACUCUAUCUGGUAUAUGCUACGCUCCCUGGCUCAACCCACGCGACGAGUUUAUACAGUCUAUCAGUACAUGAUAUUGUACUGUGACUGGGCUUGUCAUCGUCGAUGCCCUCGGCAUGGGAAGAUGUGGAUACCAAGAAAGCUUGAUAUCCUAACUGCAACUUCAAGCCAAAAUGUGGACACUCGAAAGAAUUAGAAAACAUGUUCCAGAUUAUUUAUUUGCAGCAAAAUUAAUCAACAAAAUCCCAUUAGAGAUAGAAUAUACGAAGAUCAAUUAACAGAUAACCAAUUAUUUUCUAUUAGAUUAAUUUCUAAACUAAAACCGCAGGAUCCAAACAAGAUGUCAAACAAGAGAGAUAUGCAAUUCUCCAGUCAAGAUGUCAAACAGAAAUGACUGUCUAGGGUUUAGUAUAUACCUAAUUCUGGUAAAUCAUGGAUGCGAUUGGUGGUUGAGGACGAUCAAGAUCAUCAACAUCGUCUUGGCCUUCAUCAUCAUCUAGGGUUUCCAGAGCUACCUCACACAUUCCAACCACCAUCUCUUAUUUUAGAAGAAAAACCCUAAUAGAACCCCCAAAACACAUGUAAGAGUUUUUCAAUGUGCAUAAACCACUCAAUACUGGAUCAAUUUAUAGAGAUGAUAGGGGAGUUGGAGUAGUAAACAAUGGUUACUGUUUGGCAAGUAUGCUAGCGCUAUUCCUACUCAGUAUUCACCAACCUUAUUUCUCUCUUUUUACAAGCUUACCAACCUUAUUUCUCCAUAAUUACGGUUAAACUUUCUCUUAAAUUAUG